RNAcentral lists this ribosomal RNA (670 nucleotides) under uncultured bacterium. Its description in RNAcentral is "bacterial SSU rRNA". It matches the Rfam family "Bacterial small subunit ribosomal RNA", at positions 9 to 694 of the family's 1533-position model. The record is from RNAcentral.
GAGUUUGAUCCUGGCUCAGGAUGAACGCUGGCGGCGUGCUUAACACAUGCAAGUCGAGCGAUGAAGUUUCCUUCGGGAAACGGAUUAGCGGCGGACGGGUGAGUAACACGUGGGUAACCUGCCUCAUAGAGUGGAAUAGCCUUCCGAAAGGAAGAUUAAUACCGCAUAACGUUGAAAGAUGGCAUCAUCAUUUAACCAAAGGAGCAAUCCGCUAUGAGAUGGACCCGCGGCGCAUUGGCUAGUUGGUGGGGUAACGGCCUACCAAGGCGACGAUGCGUAGCCGACCUGAGAGGGUGAUCGGCCACAUUGGGACUGAGACACGGCCCAGACUCCUACGGGAGGCAGCAGUGGGGAAUAUUGCACAAUGGGGGAAACCCUGAUGCAGCAACGCCGCGUGAGUGAUGAAGGUUUUCGGAUCGUAAAGCUCUGUCUUUGGGGAAGAUAAUGACGGUACCCAAGGAGGAAGCCACGGCUAACUACGUGCCAGCAGCCGCGGUAAUACGUAGGUGGCAAGCGUUAUCCGGAUUUACUGGGCGUAAAGGGAGCGUAGGCGGAUGAUUAAGUGGGAUGUGAAAUACCCGGGCUCAACUUGGGUGCUGCAUUCCAAACUGGUUACCUAGAGUGCAGGAGAGGAGAGUGGAAUUCCUAGUGUAGCGGUGAAAUGCGUAGA